This 624-nucleotide long non-coding RNA is filed under the name Chlamydomonas reinhardtii. RNAcentral describes it as "long non-coding RNA (CREI_LNC001147)". Lineage: Eukaryota; Viridiplantae; Chlorophyta; Chlorophyceae; Chlamydomonadales; Chlamydomonadaceae. The record is from RNAcentral.
CCGCGGGCUGGGCGGGCGGCGGCGGCGGCGCUGCGCCGCCGGCGAGGCCGCCGGCUCCUGCUGCGGUACGGCGAUGGUACGGUGGGUACGGUUAGACGAUUGGUACCGCAGGAGAUGUACCGUAACCUAGAGGCAUGUGUCCAGGAACUGAACACUGCCUGACGGUGUUGCACGGCCUUCGUACAGCUUCGUGAGGUCGAAUGCCGAACGGCCGACUGCACCACCGUACAACGACUCUGCAGCGUGUCCGCAGUUGGCUACUCAGGCACCCCACCAGUCGACCCAGGCACCCACCCGGUGGCGGGACAGCUUGUCCGAAGAUGGCUACCCAGGCAUCCCCCCCCUCGCUCAGUAGCCCCUCGCUCAAUAGCCCCUCGCUCAAUAGCCCCUCGCUCAAUAGCCCCUCGCUCAGUAGCCCCUCGCUCAGUAGCCCCUCGCUCUAUUGCAUUGGGUUCGGUUUAGUUUGGGCUGGUAUCUACACACACAUACACACACACACACGCACACACACACACACACACCAGCCGACCCAGGUACCCACCCGGCGGUGGCACAGCGGCCGUGGGUCCCCCUCCGCCACCGCCGCCGCCGCCUGGCCCCCCGGGCAGCGGCAGCAGCGGCGCG